GACGAACGCUGGCGGCGUGCCUAAUACAUGCGAGUAGAACGCACAGUUUAUACCGUAGCUUGCUACACCAUAGACUGUGAGUUGCGAACGGGUGAGUAACGCGUAGGUAACCUGCCUGGUAGCGGGGGAUAACUAUUGGAAACGAUAGCUAAUACCGCAUAAUAUUAAUUAUUGCAUGAUAAUUAAUUGAAAGGUGAAAUUGCACCACUACCAGAUGGACCUGCGUUGUAUUAGCUAGUAGGUGAGGUAACGGCUCACCUAGGCGACGAUACAUAGCCGACCUGAGAGGGUGAUCGGCCACACUGGGACUGAGACACGGCCCAGACUCCUACGGGAGGCAGCAGUAGGGAAUCUUCGGCAAUGGACGAAAGUCUGACCGAGCAACGCCGCGUGAGUGAAGAAGGUUUUCGGAUCGUAAAGCUCUGUUGUAAGAGAAGAACGGGUGUGAGAGUGGAAAGUUCACACUGUGACGGUAUCUUACCAGAAAGGGGCGGCUAACUACGUG
RNAcentral lists this ribosomal RNA (505 nucleotides) under uncultured bacterium. Its description in RNAcentral is "partial 16S ribosomal RNA". It matches the Rfam family "Bacterial small subunit ribosomal RNA", at positions 28 to 507 of the family's 1533-position model. The record is from RNAcentral.